GUGAGGAAUUUUGCGCAAUAGGGGAAACCCUGACGCAGCAACGCCGCGUGAGUGAUGAAGGCCUUCGGGUUGUAAAGCUCUGUCAAGUGGGAAAAAUAACUUCCGGUAAAUAGCCGGAAGUGAUGAUGGUACCGCUGGAGGAAGCACCGGCUAACUCCGUGCCAGCAGCCGCGGUAAUACGGAGGGUGCAAGCGUUGUUCGGAAUUAUUGGGCGUAAAGAGCGUGUAGGCGGUUUGGUAAGUCAGAUGUGAAAGCCCUGGGCUUAACCCAGGAAGUGCAUUUGAAACUGCCAUGCUCGAGUAUGGGAGAGGAGAGUGGAAUUCCCAGUGUAGAGGUGAAAUUCGUAGAUAUUGGGAGGAACACCCGUGGCGAAGGCGACUCUCUGGACCAAUACUGACGCUGAGACGCGAAAGCGUGGGGAGCAAACAGGAUUAGAUACCCCUGUAGUCC
This 450-nucleotide ribosomal RNA is filed under the name uncultured bacterium. RNAcentral's name for it is "bacterial SSU rRNA". It matches the Rfam family "Bacterial small subunit ribosomal RNA", at positions 354 to 796 of the family's 1533-position model. The record is from RNAcentral.